GACGAACGCUGGCGGCGUGCCUAAUACAUGCAAGUCGAGCGGACUUACAAAGCUUGCUUUUUAUGUUAGCGGGGGACGGGUGAGAAAAACGUGGGCAACAUGCCUGUAAGACUGUGAUAACUUCGGGAAACCGGAGCUAAUACCGGAUAAUCCUUUUCUACUCACGUAGAAAAGCUGAAAGACGGUCUACGCUGUCACUUACAGUUGGGCCCGCGGCGCAUGAGCUGGUUGGGGAGGUUACGGCUCACCAUGGCGACGAUGCGUAGCCGACCUGUGAGAGGGGUCGGCCGCACGGGGACUGAGACAGGGCCCAUGCUCCUACGGGAGGGAGCAGUAGGGAAUGGUCCGCAAUGGACGGGAGUCUGGCGGAGCAGCGCCGCGUGAGUGAUGAAGGUUUUCGGAUCGUAAAACUCUGUUGUUAGUGAAGAACAAGUACGAGAUGAACUGCUCGUAGCGUGACGGUACCUAACAAGAAAGCCACGGCUAACUACGUG
Molecule: ribosomal RNA, 494 nt
Filed under: uncultured bacterium
Lineage: Bacteria
Description: partial 16S ribosomal RNA
Rfam family: Bacterial small subunit ribosomal RNA
Source: RNAcentral